RNAcentral lists this ribosomal RNA (253 nucleotides) under uncultured bacterium. RNAcentral's name for it is "partial 16S ribosomal RNA". It matches the Rfam family "Bacterial small subunit ribosomal RNA", at positions 524 to 776 of the family's 1533-position model. The record is from RNAcentral.
UACGAAGGGGGCUAGCGUUGUUCGGAAUCACUGGGCGUAAAGGGCGCGUAGGCGGCUUUAUAAGUCGGGGGUGAAAGCCUGUGGCUCAACCACAGAAUUGCCUUCGAUACUGUAGAGCUUGAGACCGGAAGAGGUAAGUGGAACUGCGAGUGUAGAGGUGAAAUUCGUAGAUAUUCGCAGGAACACCAGUGGCGAAGGCGGCUUACUGGUCCGGUUCUGACGCUGAGGCGCGAAAGCGUGGGGAGCAAACAGG